This 973-nucleotide ribosomal RNA is filed under the name Aliarcobacter cibarius. Its description in RNAcentral is "bacterial SSU rRNA". It matches the Rfam family "Bacterial small subunit ribosomal RNA", at positions 64 to 1048 of the family's 1533-position model. Lineage: Bacteria; Pseudomonadati; Campylobacterota; Epsilonproteobacteria; Campylobacterales; Arcobacteraceae. The record is from RNAcentral.
GAGACGGGCUAUAGCUUGCUAUAGUUGUCAGCUAAGUGGCGCACGGGUGAGUAAUGUAUAGGUAAUAUGCCUCUUACUAAGGGAUAACAAAAUGGAAACGUUUGCUAAUACCUUAUACUCCUUAUUAACAGAAGUUAAUAAGGGAAAGAUUUAUUGGUAAGAGAUUAGCCUGUAUUGUAUCAGUUAGUUGGUGGGGUAAUGGCUUACCAAGACUAUGACACAUAACUGGUUUGAGAGGAUGAUCAGUCACACUGGAACUGAGACACGGUCCAGACUCCUACGGGAGGCAGCAGUGGGGAAUAUUGCACAAUGGACGAAAGUCUGAUGCAGCAACGCCGCGUGGAGGAUGACACAUUUCGGUGCGUAAACUCCUUUUAUAUAAGAAGAUAAUGACGGUAUUAUAUGAAUAAGCACCGGCUAACUCCGUGCCAGCAGCCGCGGUAAUACGGGGGGUGCAAGCGUUACUCGGAAUCACUGGGCGUAAAGAGCAUGUAGGCGGAUUAAUAAGUUUGAAGUGAAAUCCUAUAGCUUAACUAUAGAACUGCUUUGAAAACUGUUGAUCUAGAAUGUGGGAGAGGUAGAUGGAAUUUCUGGUGUAGGGGUAAAAUCCGUAGAGAUCAGAAGGAAUACCGAUUGCGAAGGCGAUUUACUGGAACACAAUUGACGCUGAGAUGCGAAAGCGUGGGGAGCAAACAGGAUUAGAUACCCUGGUAGUCCACGCCCUAAACGAUGUACACUAGUUGUUGUGAGACUAGAUCUUGCAGUAAUGCAGUUAACACAUUAAGUGUACCGCCUGGGGAGUACGGUCGCAAGAUUAAAACUCAAAGGAAUAGACGGGGACCCGCACAAGCGGUGGAGCAUGUGGUUUAAUUCGACGAUACACGAAGAACCUUACCUGGACUUGACAUAGUAAGAACUUUCUAGAGAUAGAUUGGUGUCUGCUUGCAGAAACUUAUAUACAGGUGCUGCACGG